GAUGAACGCUGGCGGCGUGCCUAAUACAUGCAAGUCGAGCGAACGGACGAGAAGCUUGCGUCUCUGAUGUUAGCGGCGGAGGGGUGAAUAACACGUGUAUAACCUACCUAUCUGACUGGGAUAACCUCGAGAAACCGGAUCUAAUACCGUAUAAGAUCUUGAACCGCAGGGGUCGAUAGUGAGAUACGGUGUUGCGGUCACGUAUAGAGGCAUCUCGGCUGCAUUGGGUAGUUGUUAAGGUCACGGCUUACCAAGGCAACGAUGCAUAGCCGACCUGUGAGGGUGAUCGGCCACCCUGGAAGUGAGCCACGGUCAUGACUCCUACGGGAGGCACCAGUAGGGAAUGUUACGCAAUGGGCGAAAGCCUUACGGAGCAACGCCGCGUGAGUGAUGACGGUGUUCGGAUCGUAAAACUCUGUUAUUAGGGAAGAACAUAUGUGUAAGUAACUGUGCACAUAUUGACGGUACCUAAUCAGAAAGCCCCGGCUAACUACGUG
RNAcentral lists this ribosomal RNA (497 nucleotides) under uncultured bacterium. RNAcentral describes it as "partial 16S ribosomal RNA". It matches the Rfam family "Bacterial small subunit ribosomal RNA", at positions 28 to 507 of the family's 1533-position model. The record is from RNAcentral.